Molecule: ribosomal RNA, 471 nt
Filed under: uncultured bacterium
Lineage: Bacteria
Description: bacterial SSU rRNA
Rfam family: Bacterial small subunit ribosomal RNA
Source: RNAcentral
UCGCGAAUAUUCCGCAAUGGGCGAAAGCCUGACGGAGCGACGCCGCGUGUGGGAUGAAGGCCUUCGGGUUGUAAACCACUGUCACGCGUUAUGAACACCGGGGAGACAAUAUCAAUCCGGAUGACAAAGGCGCGAGAGGAAGCCACGGCUAACUCUGUGCCAGCAGCCGCGGUAAGACAGAGGUGGCAAGCGUUGCUCGGAGUUACUGGGCAUAAAGGGCGCGUAGGCGGUCGUGCACGUCGAGGGUGAAAUCCCCGGGCUUAACCCGGGAACUGCCUUUGAUACGGCGCGACUCGAGUGCGGGAGGGGAGAGUGGAACUCCUGGUGGAGCGGUGAAAUGCGUAGAUAUCAGGAGGAACGCCGGUGGCGAAAGCGACUCUCUGGUCCGCAACUGACGCUGAGGCGCGAAAGCUAGGGGAGCAAACGGGAUUAGAUACCCCAGUAGUCCCUGAGCGGGCUGGCAAGGCGCAU